This is a non-coding RNA of Ilex paraguariensis (yerba mate), 85 nucleotides long. The record is from the annotation of a GenBank genome assembly. NCBI's taxonomy places the organism in Eukaryota, Viridiplantae, Streptophyta, Magnoliopsida, Aquifoliales, Aquifoliaceae.
AUUUUAAGGAAUGCUUGAAGUGGUAAAAAUGAUGAACUGUAAAUUCAGACGUCCUGAGUUCGAAUCUUCGCAACCUUUUAGAAUU